Molecule: long non-coding RNA, 1366 nt
Organism: Panicum virgatum (switchgrass)
Lineage: Eukaryota; Viridiplantae; Streptophyta; Magnoliopsida; Poales; Poaceae
Exons: 7
Source: RefSeq, a predicted model, not a curated record
CCACCUAGCCCACCAAGCACCCACAUCCCUCACGCCCUUCUUCCUCACCUCACAGUCCCAACCCUAGCCGCGCCUACCCCUGCGCGCCGCCCUUCCCGGUGGCCGCUUCUCCCGCGCGCCUCCACAUCUCGCGCGUGCAGCCGCCUUGGCGCGCGCCACCGUUCGCACUGCGCCGCCCUCGCGCGCAGCGCCGCCGCCAGGGCCUCGCCGCGGCCGCCGCCUUCGCAAGCCGCUGCCGCCGGCGUGAGCCCGCGCGGCCACUGCCGCGCCAAGCCCCCCACGCCGUGGCCACCAGGGGGUCCAGCGCCGCCGCCGGGAUCUAUGCCGCGCUUGCCCGCACGCGUCCGAGCAACCUCGUGUGCUUGCUGAUGCGGAACUUGCUCCACUGUAGGCCAUCCUCGUCGCUCAGGGUUUGGGCCAUGGAAGCUGCUGCUGGACUACGGGGAUCGCCAACGACUGCUCAAGCAGUGAAGCUGCUAGAUACUUUCCUGAAGACCUGCAAACUUGUUUCAGAUUUGAGAAGUAAACAGAACGAAACAUAAAUGAGGGCAGCUUGGUGAGAUGUCCCUUGGUGGCUAUCGUUUUUUUGUGGCAUCAGGAACAUAUUGUUUUAUGGGGCGCCCCCUCCCUCCCUAGGUUUCGAUCCCCAUGUCAUACCCUCCGGAUCCAAUCCGGGGCGCGGCUGGCGGUGCACGAAGGCGAGGACGACAGCGUGCGAAGGCGGUGCUGCUGCCGGCUCCGUGGGCGAUGUCGACAACCGCGAGAUCGGCUUGCUCUGCCUCUUCUUGGCGUCGGCAGCCUGCUCCACCUCUUAAGGUCCUUUUGCUUGUGAUAUAUAACUAUUGUAAUGUAGGUCCUUUUGCUUGUUAUCUGCUACUUGCUGUCUUGCCUCCAAGAUAUAUAAGAGAGCUGCAAGCAUAAAUGCUGCACUUGGAAUCAUGACUGAGGAUGACUGGGGUUGCAUGUGUAUGAUGAUUGGCUUGCUUCAAGCAACUACAGUUGUGCAUGUGAUGCCGACGGAACUGGACAUGCUAUGCUGCACGUACUAUAUGGUCAAGCAAUGAAGCACGAUGAAGGGAAAGGACCAGAUGUACCAAGGAACCAACAGUCAGAACAGAUCAGUUGAGGAUCCGAUGCAUCCAGUAACAAGCAGUUAGAAGAGAUAGGAAAUUUGAAGAAGGCAACAGAGGAGAUUGAUGGUUUUGGUCUAUCUAUAACUCCUGUUCUUUACCAUGAUUAAAUGGCUGUAAUCUCUUAUUUGGGUGUAAUUUGUACCUUACAUGUUCAGGAUGAUGUGUAAAUGUUUUGAUGGUGAUUAAAAAUGGUUUGUGCCAAUGAAAAUAGGCCUGCAAAAAGUUAAGUUUUA